RNAcentral lists this ribosomal RNA (253 nucleotides) under uncultured bacterium. Its description in RNAcentral is "partial 16S ribosomal RNA". It matches the Rfam family "Bacterial small subunit ribosomal RNA", at positions 524 to 776 of the family's 1533-position model. The record is from RNAcentral.
UACGGGGGGGGCAAGCGUUGUUCGGAAUUACUGGGCGUAAAGGGCGCGUAGGCGGCCUGCUAAGUCGGAUGUGAAAUCCAUCGGCUCAACCGAGGAACUGCAUCCGAUACUGGCGGGCUUGAAUCCGGGAGAGGGAUGUGGAAUUCCAGGUGUAGCGGUGAAAUGCGUAGAUAUCUGGAGGAACACCGGUGGCGAAGGCGGCAUCCUGGACUGGUAUUGACGCUGAGGCGCGAAAGCUAGGGGAGCAAACGGG